UUUUUAUUUCUCUCUUUAGGGAAGAUGAGAAUUUAUAUUUAUAAUGUUAUAAUUAUUUAUAUAAGUUUUUCGCAUUCCUAGGGCGCUUGUUUCACGCUUUGCGUGUCAAUGCGCACCCAGAGCGUACACGCUGAUACCCGAAAGAUGGUGAACUAUGCCUGGCCAGGACGAAGCCAGGGGAAACCCUGGUGGAGGUCCGCAGCGAUUCUGACGUGCAAAUCGAUCGUCGGAGCUGGGUAUAGGGGCGAAAGACCAAUCGAACCAUUUAGUAGAUGGUUCCCUUUGAAGUUUCC
This 293-nucleotide ribosomal RNA is filed under the name Harpactor sp. 00004661. Its description in RNAcentral is "partial 28S ribosomal RNA". It matches the Rfam family "Eukaryotic large subunit ribosomal RNA", at positions 688 to 971 of the family's 3401-position model. Lineage: Eukaryota; Metazoa; Arthropoda; Insecta; Hemiptera; Reduviidae. The record is from RNAcentral.